RNAcentral lists this long non-coding RNA (578 nucleotides) under Macaca mulatta (Rhesus monkey). RNAcentral's name for it is "lncRNA (ENSMMUG00000060705.1)". Lineage: Eukaryota; Metazoa; Chordata; Mammalia; Primates; Cercopithecidae. The record is from RNAcentral.
AUUCUGUUCUUCUCCACGUUUUGGCUUCUUCCUCAGCUGGUAGCAUUUCCAGCUGUCACAUCCAGACAGACUGAAGUGGAGAAGUUGAAAAAGUCUGACUUUUCAGUGUUACCUACUUAAAAGUGGAGAAAUUUUUCCAGAAGCCUUCAUCCAACCCCUCCUUAUAUCUCUUUGGCCUGAAAAGGAUACCAUGGAACUAAGCAAGAAGAGGAAUGCUCCUGCACCCAACAGAGGAUUAAAGCCUUGCUACUUCUCAUUAUGUGUGUGGGAGAGGACCGAAGGUAGAUAAUUCAGUGAAGAUGUGUGAAUGGGAGGCAGAAAAGACGGCACAAGUGUAGAAAAACAUUUCUUUUAUCAUUUGCCCAGUGGCUUGUAUGAGAACCUGGAUUCUUCUUGAAUGCAAUUAUGCGCAGUCUGUUACUGAAAGGAAAUUUGCUUCCAGGAUCCGUGGAAAAUAGGUUAACAUGUUUCUGAAGAUGUCUCAUUCCUGUGUGUGGGCAGAAUAUGAGAAGAUAACAGAGUGGUCCUAAGGACACUGUGGGAAGAACGGGUAGGCUGAAAGCCAUGAUUCAGAAGAC